UCUUUUCUUUCAAAGCUGAAGAGCCAGCGCUGUCCGAAGACGUCUCCAUGGUCAUGUGGCCGCAUGACUCAAUGCUGAAGGCGCACUGAGCGUUGUUAUCUAUAAUCUGUGCCAAUUGUUAAGUACAACAAUGGUGGACCUAAAACACAGGUGCCACAUGCCAUAUCAUUUUGGGUGACAUGACUUCAAUAACACCCAACAACAUCUAUUCUCAAAAGCAUACUCUAUUCUCAGAUGACUUUUGGAGGCUGCAGAGGCCCUGCGAGAAUGAGUUGCACUCUUCUGUGGCCAUUAGACAUUCUGGAAUUUACUCAGGAGAGUUGUGCUCUAGUACAGCCUCUGGAGCCUCCCCCCCAAAUAACACAAGAACGUGGUGUGCUUUUGCACAGUUUUUAGAGGCUGCAGAAGCAUAUUCUCCAAAACUGCUUCAAGAACGAAGAUCUUGUGCAACCCGGAGUAGCCUUAGGUAGGUCGUACGGGCUUCUUAACAGAAAGACAACAGUUCCUGGAGGUAAGGCCUGCGGCAGAUCCUGGAGAAUGCUGGACCAUGUGCUGUUCCCCAAAACCUUUGGGGUAUAGUGCAAGGCAGCCUGUUUGAGAAGUACCGUAGCAAUGAUGCUAGAGCUAAAGUAGAGGCCCAGGUCUUUAACUUCUGGCCCAACCUCAAUAGCCACUGAUCAUCGCUCUUCCUAAAAGCCUAAAAGGGUAGGGGGAGAGAGGGAAUAGAUUUUUUUGGUGUCUGUGUAUGUGUGUGAUGACAGGGCAGCAGAAUAAGGCAUUUUUUGAAUUUUGGGCAUGCGGAGUUCAAAUGUUUUGCCAUUACUGUAUAGUGACCAGAUGUCCCGCUUUUGGCGGGACAGUCCUGCUUUUUAAUAAUUUGUCCCGCGUCCCGUAGCAAUUCCAAAAAGUCCUGAUUUUUUUUUUGUUUUCACUCCCAUUCUGAAAAUGGGAGGUGGCAACGCAAGAAGAAGAGACGGAGAAGGGGGAGUGGCGGAGAAGGGGGCACGAGAGGGAGGAGAGACGCCCUUGACUUCAUCCGAGAGGAAGAGAAGAGCCGAGGAGAGCCGAGCCUGCCUGGAAGAGCUGAGAGGAGAGCCGAGCCUGCCUGGAAGAGCCGAGAAGCAGCAGCCGCUCCUCCUCCUUCAGGCAGGUGGCAAGACUCAGUGCGCAUGCGCAGGCCCACCCCCACCCCCCCGGUCAAUGGUGUCCUGCUUUGCCAUUGCUGAAAUCUGGUCACUUUACAUUACUGGUCUAAGAUAGAUCUGUUGUGACCAAGGCCUAAGUUGUGAUUACUAAGCACAAUUCAGUCCGCAACAAACUUAUUUUAUUAAAACAUCUGAGAAUUAAUUCAUCCUCAGCUUAGGCCAAAAUAAAAUUCUUAAUAACCAGCCCGUUGGUGUUAUCACCAACCUCUGAUGUCUUUGGCAACCUGUCAAAGGCUUUUAUUGGCAAAACCACCACAAAGUUCAAGAGACGCUGACAAGAAGCACAGAAAUCAACCUUGCUUUUCUACUAAGAAGCCAAUGGCUCGUUGCUGCUCUUUUAAGCCUUAUGGAAGUGGCCAAUCAUCUUCUGGCCUUACUCCCCAAAUGUCCUUUUUUCUUCAGCUGCUCUUGCCUUCUGGCAGCUCUUCGCAUACGUGCACUAGGAACAGCCUCCUCCUGUUCCGCUGCCUCUCUGCUGUCUGCCUCUGAAGGCUCCGGAGUUUGCGCAUCGCUCCCAGAUGGCUGUCGUGUCCCACUCCUCUGCUGACGGCCGGGUCAGGGAAAUCCGAAUCAGGCAAUAUCGAUGUUGUAAUCCAACUCACCUGGAGUGCCACAGCUUAGGAAAGGCUCCCUUAGUGGCUGUGAGAGCUGGCACUUGUCCAUCACCAACAUAAGUGCGCCAACUCUUGGAUCUUAUCUUAUGACUGAAAUGAAAGUUAACAGCAGAUGGGACUCUUGCAUUGGGACUCUACACACGUACUCUCUCUCAUACUGUGGAACCUUGUUGUGGACUCAUCUUUUACAACCUGAUUUCCAAAGGUUUUACAAGCUGGAAGGGCUUUUACACGUGGAAACUUGUGCAUAUUAUUGAAAGUUCUACUCAGCAUUCAACCUACAGAGCACCGCUGAAGUUGG
Molecule: long non-coding RNA, 2120 nt
Organism: Ahaetulla prasina
Lineage: Eukaryota; Metazoa; Chordata; Lepidosauria; Squamata; Colubridae
Exons: 3
Source: RefSeq, a predicted model, not a curated record